Molecule: transfer RNA, 88 nt
Filed under: Rhodococcus (subgen. Prescottella) equi
Lineage: Bacteria; Bacillati; Actinomycetota; Actinomycetes; Mycobacteriales; Nocardiaceae
Also listed under: 1 other name
Description: Prescottella equi tRNA-Gly
Source: RNAcentral
CCGAGAUGGCGAAGUUCCUUGUCCCCGGCGUUGCCAGCGCUGUGAUCGGUGCAGUGGUCGGCGCCGGUGCCGUUCUCGGCGUCACCGC